AAGAUUAAGCCAUGCAUGUCUAAGUAUAAGCAAUUUAUACAGUGAAACUGCGAAUGGCUCAUUAAAUCAGUUAUCGUUUAUUUGAUAGUUCCUUUACUACAUGGUAUAACUGUGGUAAUUCUAGAGCUAAUACAUGCUUAAAAUCUCGACCCUUUGGAAGAGAUGUAUUUAUUAGAUAAAAAAUCAAUGUCUUCGGACUCUUUGAUGAUUCAUAAUAACUUUUCGAAUCGCAU
This 233-nucleotide ribosomal RNA is filed under the name uncultured fungus. RNAcentral describes it as "partial 18S ribosomal RNA". It matches the Rfam family "Eukaryotic small subunit ribosomal RNA", at positions 40 to 274 of the family's 1831-position model. Lineage: Eukaryota; Fungi. The record is from RNAcentral.